CUCAACCGCAAGGAGGGGGAUGCCUAAGGCAGGGCUAGUGACUGGGGUGAAGUCGUAACAAGGUAGCCGUACCGGAAGGUGUGGCUGGAUCACCUCCUUAAAGGGAGACCUAAUUCAGGUAGGAGACGAAAAAAAGUAGUCCCUACCAAGAAUCAAUCCCAAAAGGUCGGAGCGAGGCGAAAUUGGCUUUCAAACUAGGUUCUGGGUUCACACAAGACCUGAAUCAGGAACAAGGGCUAUUAGCUCAGGUGGUUAGAGCGCACCCCUGAUAAGGGUGAGGUCCCUGGUUCGAGUCCAGGAUGGCCCACCUGCACAGGUGGCAAAAACAAAGAAAAAAGGCUCCGAAUCAGCACCUUAUCUUACUUAUAUAGUAAGAGAGAAUGCUGGCUCUGAGUACAGAGUCCAGAGGAACCUUGAAAACUGCAUAGAGCUAGGUGAAAAAGCCAAAAAAGAAGACCGUUAGGUCAAGCUAAUAAGGGCUAACGGUG
RNAcentral lists this unclassified non-coding RNA (488 nucleotides) under uncultured Microcystis sp. RNAcentral describes it as "partial contains 16S ribosomal RNA, 16S-23S ribosomal RNA intergenic spacer, and 23S ribosomal RNA". The stretch from base 1 to 100 matches the Rfam family "Bacterial small subunit ribosomal RNA", at positions 1434 to 1533 of the family's 1533-position model. Lineage: Bacteria; Bacillati; Cyanobacteriota; Cyanophyceae; Chroococcales; Microcystaceae. The record is from RNAcentral.